AAUGAACGUUGGCGGCGUGGAUUAGGCAUGCAAGUCGAGCGCUCAUAGCAAUAUGGGAGCGGCGAACGGCGUAGUAAUGCAUCGGAACGUACCCUUCGGUCGGGGAUAGCCACGGGAAACUGUGGGUAAUACCCGAUGAUAUCUGCGGAUCAAAGGUGAGAUUCCGCCGGAGGAGCGGCUGAUGUGAUAUUAGCUUGAUGGUGGGGUAAUGGCCUACCAUGGCGAUGAUGUCUAGGGGGUGUGAGAGCAUGGCCCCCACGACCGGAACUGAGACACUGUCCGGACACCUACGGGUGGCUGCAGUCGAGAAUCUUCCGCAAUGGACGAAAGUCUGACGGAGCGACGCCGCGUGCGGGAUGAAGGCCCUUGGGUUGUAAACCGCUGUCAGAGGGGAUGAAAUCUCCGGGGGGUACUCCCCCGGAGUUGACAGAGCCUCAAAGGAAGCACGGGCUAAGUACGUGCCAGCAGCCGCGGUAAAGUAUCGGUACG
Molecule: ribosomal RNA, 489 nt
Filed under: uncultured bacterium
Lineage: Bacteria
Description: bacterial SSU rRNA
Rfam family: Bacterial small subunit ribosomal RNA
Source: RNAcentral